GACGAACGCUGGCGGCGUGCUUAACACAUGCAAGUCGAACGAUGAACCACUUCGGUGGGGAUUAGUGGCGAACGGGUGAGUAACACGUGGGCAAUCUGCCCUUCACUCUGGGACAAGCCCUGGAAACGGGGUCUAAUACCGGAUAACACUGCCAUGGGCAUCUGUGGUGGUUAAAAGCUCCGGCGGUGAAGGAUGAGCCCGCGGCCUAUCAGCUUGUUGGUGAGGUAANGGCUCACCAAGGCGACGACGGGUAGCCGGCCUGAGAGGGCGACCGGCCACACUGGGACUGAGACACGGCCCAGACUCCUACGGGAGGCAGCAGUGGGGAAUAUUGCACAAUGGGCGAAAGCCUGACGCAGCGACGCCGCGUGAGGGAUGACGGCCU
This 385-nucleotide ribosomal RNA is filed under the name uncultured bacterium. RNAcentral describes it as "bacterial SSU rRNA". It matches the Rfam family "Bacterial small subunit ribosomal RNA", at positions 28 to 417 of the family's 1533-position model. The record is from RNAcentral.